CAGAGGGGCAGUGUGGCGUUCCCACGGGCGUCACGGCGCGGGGGAUGAAUUAUUUGCAGGCUGCCUUUAAGGGGGAUGUGCACCCUCUUUUUAAGCUGCCCGUGGAGGAAAUUUCACAACCCCUCAGAGUUCCCGGAAAGGUGCGGCUGCUUUUGUUGGUGGGCACGCAUGCAGGCACACCUCAGGAUACAUGGAAAAGGGAUUUUUCGUGGCUCUGGGGACUAAACUGGCUUUCCGGGGCUGGAAAUGAUUGCCAGGUGUCAUCAGAAAGGUGGGGUUUCCUCUUUUCCAGUGGGUUGGUGCUCUGAUGUGAUGAAAGCUCUAACUUUCUAGGACAAUAUAGGUGCUUACCUUUCUUAAGCAUAACAGGGUACCCUGCUUUCCCCAGCACUGGAAAGGGAUUGCAUCUUGUCUUGGCUCUGGGAGACAUGAAGAGCAGUUGGUCACUGCCCUUGUUCUAGCAACCUUUUAAUCUACUUGAAGACCGUUUGUCACAGGCCUCUUGGUAUUUCUUUUUUUUUUUUUCCUUCUUUUUUUUUUUUCUCUGGAAAAAAGAAACUUACUUCCUUCAGAUCAUGUCUUCUAAACCUCUUUUUCUUACUGCUUUCUCCUCAAGCCUCUCCUUGCCUGCCCCAGCCCAGAAGCGAGAUGCUGCACUUCCCCGCCACGUCCUGCGCGCAGCCCUCCCGGCACUCACCCACCACAAAUUUGCCCUUGCCUCUUCUGCGGCCGUGCCGUGUUACUCUCCAUUGCAGUCACAGACCUUUGUAUUUGCCAGGUCCUUCCCUACAGCAUCCGCAUCGCUGCCGGGACAGUUCGGAUUUUUGUGGCGCGAGGGUCCCUGCAGUAACUCUUUCCUCCCCUUUUGAAGGCAGGUGCAUCGUUCGUCUUUCUUCUGUCACCUGGGACCACUCUUCUUGCCUGGAUUUUGGAAGAAGACCAGACACUUGUGAAAGGAAAGAGUGGUUGGUGAUCCAAGUAAUCCAUGAGCUAGCCUAACAGCCCCGCUAUUUCUGGUGGGAUUUGGCGAAGAAAAUAUAUAACAGCAGUGGCCUUAGGGAUCGGUAACUUAGGUUGUGUUGCAUUAUCUGCCACGACACCGCUGGCAGAUUACAGACUUGGUGACGGGGAAGCUGCUGGCUGACUUUGUGGUCCUGCUCAGGAGACGAGGCAGCUGGGGCUGACUCUGAGCUCCCUGUCCUCCGCUCCUGUCAGGUGGUCGCUGACAUUCAGGUGCAUCUUAGCCUGAUGGCUCUUCAUCCUGCUUCUCCUGCCCCAUGGGAAAACCCUUUGCCCCCAGAGCUGGCUGCUCGUCCUCCCUGCCGCCGCUCCCCAGCUCCUGCUCCAGCACGUUUCACGGAGCUGCUCGCUGCCCAGAGUUCUUGGCGGUCGUUAAGUAGCUAAUGACUGGGAGGUGUGAUAUGUUACUCGGUUUAUUACUCUGAUGACUCAAGUAGCUGGGUUUAGGCCAAACCACCUCUUCGUGUGAUCUGCGAGGAGGAGGGAGGAGAGGUUUCCUGCUCCCCACUGUACUGAAUGUGCUUUUCUGUGCUGUUUAGGGUGUUGGCUUUCCUAUGCCAUGUGUGACCAAGCCAGCAUGACAAUAACGAAGGUGUUUUUGAAAGAAACAAAAGUUACUGGUGAUGCACAAGGCUGUUUUCCACACGUACUGCUUUGUCCCCGGAAUUUGGGAAGAAUGGUGAUUUAGCUCCAAAAUAUGAAUCAGUGUUUGCUUGGUGUCUCUUGGGGUGAUUCAAAAGUCCUGAUAGCCUGCCGUGGAAAAUAAAAUCCUUCUGAAAAUACACAAAAGAUGCAAUUAAUUUUAGGUCCACGUGACUUAGAAGAAAAAAAGAGAAGUUUCUUUGGAAAGCAGUCUAGGCUAUCUUACGCAUGUCUGGCUGAUGUUUCCACUAGCUGGGAACAGUGAGCAAGGCGAGAGAAGGGGUCCAGGCCAGAGUCUGCAUAGACUGUGAGAAAUGUUUUUUUUCUUAACUUUUUGACUUGUUGCCCUGGAGAUGCUGGUGUUUCAAACAUCCUGCUUAGUGGACAGACUGUUAAUCCUUUUCCAAUGCUGUGGAAAUCCCAGGCCCAGUGGAACUAUGUUACUUAUUAAAAAAUAUGCGUAGGACUAACAUUUUUCUAGCACGUAGUAAAACCAGUGAUUUCCACAAAACUUCCACAACCUUCCUUGGGAUAAUGAUCCUUCCACCUCCUUGGUCAGGCAGCUCCUCCCAACCAGUCAUCCCUAUGUCAGGAAAGCGCUUGUGCUGCGUUUGGUACUGCUGCCCUAACACUGCCAGCAUUUUCAGGAAAAUACGGUCCUGGGGGGGAUGGACAGUAGUCACUGAAAUAUCACAGUGGAUUAACAGGAAAAAAACCUGUGGCGGUUUGCCUCUGCGCAGCAUGGAUGGCUGCGAGCGUGGUGGUUUCUAACUUCAUAGUGCACACGCAUCCCAGCACCUUA
Harpia harpyja (harpy eagle) is the source of this 2464-nucleotide long non-coding RNA. RefSeq lists it as uncharacterized. The record is from RefSeq and is a predicted model, not a curated record. The transcript has 3 exons. NCBI's taxonomy places the organism in Eukaryota, Metazoa, Chordata, Aves, Accipitriformes, Accipitridae.